UUUAUCAUCAACGACGGAGUAGAGGUCCUGUCAGGAGCACGUCAGGACGACCCUGACCAGACGAUGCUGACACUGAUAGUCCAGACCAUCGAAGGUACCGAGGUACAAGACACCGAGCUACUUCAUCAAUCGUAGAGGACACAACUUUCUUUUUCAAAGGAGUCCUUUUACCAUUUCUGUGACUGUGUUAUCUAAGUACUUCUUAUUGAACCUGUUGUGGAUUGUUCCCUUCAGAUGAGUGGUACUAAAGAUAGGAAAGUUGUUUUAAUUUCUAAAUUAAUUAAAGUUUAAUUCAAUUUAGAAUAUCGUCCUUUAAAAAUUUCAUUUUUGGCAUGAUAUAUGCUAUGUAUAAUAAUGCUUGAAGAAUAAUUACUUUUUCUUGCUAUAAAUGAAUGCAACUGGAAUGAAGAAUAUUUUUGUUCUUUUCACCAGGUAUCUUUUUCUCCUACUACAAAUAUAGAAAUAUUGUAAGUUUCAUUUGUUCCAUUAAUGACUGAGGGACAAAAGAGAUCCUUCAACAAUACUUUUACUGUUGGGGCUGCCCAGCAUUAAUAGGAAACCCUAUAUCCUAAAUGGAAAUGGUAAUGAUAGAAUUGGGUUUUGUAAAUGAUUAUAGCCUAGGACUAGCUAUCCAUUCCUAAACAGUCUUCUAACUGGCAUCUGUGGGGACAGAUCUCUGACAGGUAAUGGAGUAUAACUUUCCCCUUGUCAUAAGACAGGGUCCAGGAAAUAAAGAAAAGUGUCUUCCCAACAAUCCUUUGUGCAGCUCUUUUAUUACAUGGUCUCAGGAGAAAAACUAAGUCUUUGGAAAAAAUAAAAGAAAUGAAGACAUCUGAAUACCUUGGGUUGGAUGGAACCUGACAAAGAAUGAAAAGACUGUGCUUGCUGUGUUCCCGCACUUUCCUGGAAGCAGCUGAAAUUUUCUAAACUACUGUCCCCCACUUUGUCAGCUACCAGUAUCCCAUUUUGAGACCAGCUCUACCCUCCCCCUCCCCCCGCCUGCUUGCGCUUUUCAGCAGAGGCAAAUACAGUGCUCAGCAAUGGGGAUAUACUACAGGUACAUUAUAGGUAUAUAUAACCAGUUGUAAAAUGUGGUGGCCAAAAACAGCUUUGAGACACAUCCCUUUCUGACAGGUUGAACUCACUCCACACUGGACAGGAAAGGGUUAACUCCUCACCGGGACCAGAAGAAGCAACACUCCCAUAGCCCAACUGGGCAUGCUUCAGGUGUGGCACCAGUGUAAGAGCGAGCUCAGUCUGGGCUGACUGCCAGAGAGGAAGGAUGCUUCCUGAUGGCUCCCAUCCGGGAACAGUUGGAACACUGGACUGAGGCACAUAGUGGUGCUAAGACCCAGACAGAUGUCCAGUUACUUGUGGACACCCCAGGGAUGUCUGAGCUUCUGGGAUUUGUACCAGCUGAGGAAUCUGGAGACCCAGAAGAUGGACAAACUACCACCAGGAGUCCCACAGCAGGACAAAGCUGAGAAUGAGGAGAUGGACUAACCUUUGUCCUUAUGAUAGUCAGUCUGUUGCAGAUGGAUCCCUGCUGACUCAAUGGUAUUCCACAGGACUUUUUGUGACUUACAAUAUGCAAUAAAAUGGGAGACACACAGUGGGUGAACACUAUCUACUUCAUGCCUAUUAAGAACCCUCCCGGACAAGGGACAAUAUUUUAGAAAAAUUGUUAAAUCAAACACAUGAGGUUUUCUGCUCCUCUUGCAGAUGUUUUUCUGGGGGCUUCUGAUCCACCCUUUCCAUGAUAGCAGAUAACAUGCUGAAAACAAUUAUUGGAUUCAGAAAUGCUGAUAAAUAUUUAAACCUCUCAAUCACAAACAUGUUUUACAUUUUAUAGACAAUGGGAAUGUUUUGAUCCCAUUAAUUCAAGCCUGUCAUACUGAAGA
Molecule: non-coding RNA, 1901 nt
Organism: Pelodiscus sinensis (Chinese soft-shelled turtle)
Lineage: Eukaryota; Metazoa; Chordata; Testudines; Trionychidae
Source: RefSeq, a predicted model, not a curated record